GGAGAACCUUGUUGUUGCCUGUGGACUGAGUGCUCUGUGAUCUGGGGCUGGCCAGUGCCACUGACCCUCCAGACAACCAGGAUUCACCAACCCACUAAAAACACUGGUCUUAAAACAUUCUGUCUCACAUGCUGUUGAUAAAUAUAAAUAUCUAGAUGAGGAAUUGUCAAAGUUGGGGAUAGAAAAACAGCCCUUGCUCCUGCAGUUCCCUCCUUCCCUGGCUGGGUUGCCUGCCCUCCAUGCAGAGCACACUUUGCAGGCAGAGGGGGGACCACACCAAGCUGCAGCAAACCCUUCUCCAUGGGUUGGAGCAGCCAUGAGAAUGUUCAACACCUCCACUCCUGGGCUGGCUGGAUUAUUAAAACAACAUUUCCACUUCCAAGUAAGUAAAUAAAUCUCACUGGCAAGUUUGUUUUGUGUCAGCCAACAUCUUAUCUCCCUCAAAACUGGGCUGGUGUCCUGCAAAGCUGGAAACUGAAUAGUCUAAAACCUGAGUGCAACAGCCAAGAGAUACACCAGAUCCAUCUUCUGAGGUAGCAGAUACAGUGAAGUAAGCAAAUACAUUCUAGAAUCCUAUUAUGAAAGUUACAAAAAUAAUUCUGUUUCUUUAAGUUUGAAGUUAUGAACCUUUGCUGUCAUUUUCCCUGCAAGGUUUUGUUUUUUCAGCCUACAGCUAAAAAGAAAGCUUCACCCCAAGAGCUUCAUUGCCCAAAAGAGGCUGUGCUGCAAACCCACCUCAAAAGGCCCAGAACACCUGGUUUCAGGCACAACAGGAAGAUCAGAACAUACCUUAUCAUAAAUAUGCAUAUGCGAGGCAGGAGCCCGCCACCUUCUUGGAGUGAUGCCAUAAUUGACGGAACAAAGUACAACAAAACUUCACAUCACUGGUGGAUCAGAAGAACAGAGACAGCAGAACUGAGAUUGUGUUGUGGUUGGAGAAUGACAGGAAGUUACAUCCAUCCCAUGGUACUGAGAGCACUUGGCUGCAUUUGGCUGAAGCUCUGUGAGCAUCACUCCUGCAGCACCAUCCUUCUCACCACGGCUGCUCCCAAGCCACUGCUCAUUAAAAGCUCAUCUGAGGUAUGA
Molecule: long non-coding RNA, 1086 nt
Organism: Zonotrichia albicollis (white-throated sparrow)
Lineage: Eukaryota; Metazoa; Chordata; Aves; Passeriformes; Passerellidae
Source: Ensembl